AGACGUCUACAUUAGAUACCCCGGUAGUCCAGGGUGUAAACGCUGCAGACUUGGUGUUGGGAAGUCCUUUGGGGGCAUUCAGUGCCGGAGAGAAGUUGUUAAGUCUGCUACUUGGGGAGUACGUCCGCAAGGAUGAAACUUAAGGAAUUGCGGGGAGCACCACAACGGGUGGAGCCUGCGGUUUAAUUGGACUCAACGCCGGAAAUCUCACCGGAUAGGACAGACAUAUGAUAGUCGGGCUGAAGACUCUACUUGAUGAUCUG
This 263-nucleotide ribosomal RNA is filed under the name uncultured archaeon. Its description in RNAcentral is "partial 16S ribosomal RNA". It matches the Rfam family "Archaeal small subunit ribosomal RNA", at positions 717 to 982 of the family's 1478-position model. The record is from RNAcentral.